ACCUGGCUGGCUUAGUCGGUAGAGCAUGCAACUCUUGGUCUUGGGGUUGAGGGUUCAAACCCCAUGUCAGGUG
RNAcentral lists this transfer RNA (73 nucleotides) under Canis lupus familiaris (dog). It matches the Rfam family "tRNA". Rfam says of the family: Transfer RNA (tRNA) molecules are approximately 80 nucleotides in length. Lineage: Eukaryota; Metazoa; Chordata; Mammalia; Carnivora; Canidae. RNAcentral also lists the same sequence under 1 other name. The record is from Rfam by way of RNAcentral.